RNAcentral lists this long non-coding RNA (1023 nucleotides) under Dermacentor andersoni. RNAcentral describes it as "uncharacterized LOC126526348". Lineage: Eukaryota; Metazoa; Arthropoda; Arachnida; Ixodida; Ixodidae. The record is from RNAcentral.
AGCUGCGCAGGGCAUGCAAUGCGUAGGUUAGAUAACUGGUAGACCAUUAGGGUUACAGAAUGGGUGCCAAGUGAAGGGAAGCGCAGUCGGGGUCGGCAGAAGAUCAGGUGGAGUGAUGAAAUUAAGAAAUUCGGAUGCGGUACUUGGAAUAGGUUGGCGCCGUACAGGGGCAAUUGGAGAUCGCAAGUAGAGGCCUUCGUCCUGCAGUGAACAUAAAAUAGGCUGCUGCGGCUGCUGCUGAUGAUGAUGAUGAUCAUCAUCAUCAUGAAGCCGCUCUUUGGCCAAUACUGGCCCUUCCACCAUAAAACACUACACAUCAUCACUGAGCCCUCUGCUGCACGGGAGAGCUUGGAACCUUAGUCGUCUGAACCGCCCAGGUACACGGUGUCACCCAUUGCAAACGUUUUGUAACGCUUCGGGUAGUGAGAAAGUCUAGCUGUGCCAUAGCUUCGUCAACAAUAUUUGCGAUAUUUUCAGGUCUCGCAGACACAUGGACAUAGACUAUAUCGAGAUGCUUUCUUUGAAUUACCGACGACAACAAAGAGGAUAAUUAACAUAUAUGCAUACCUGGGGACUGGACAGGUAGACAAUAAGAUAUCUGGAUGGUACAAAGUUUUGUACGCUAACAAAGUUUGUUUUAUUUUGGCAACCGAAGAACAAGCAAUGCCAGCGUGUUUGCUUUGGCGAAAAGUACGAGCGACACGAUUGGAACGUGUUCCGUGCAGGCAAGCAUACAAAGAGAGGUGUAGACACUAUAAAGGACAUAGUCAUGUGUACAGCAAAAAAGAAUGUAUCACUAAAAACAAUUGGUAGGCCUGCUUGUUGCUCAUUCAUACAAACCAUCUUUGCGGUAGAUUGCCACAGCUAGCAAUCAACGUUUUUCCGCUCGAGAAAUACUAAAAUCACAAGGACAACCUUUUCAGACAAUUUGUCUGCAAUCACGUGCUUUGCUUCCUAUAUACAGGAAUUGCCGCAUAUUGUUUUCAUUGCAAUGAUGUAGCUAAUAAAUAAGUAAUAAUGAAA